AUAGAUAGUAUUAAGAAAUACAUGUCAUUUUUCUGCUAUAAAACCCCAGACUUUGCAGCUUUGUCAAACACAUCAUUUCACUGAGUAAACAGCAGGUUAGAGCAAAGCACAGGCGGGUUUUCCUGUUAGUGUCUAAACAAAAGGAAGGAAAUGCACAGAUACAGUGUGCUGGCUUGCGUCUGCCAUUGUUUUGUGAUUCCUCGUUAAUAUAUCAGAGUUUUAAUACUGUACCUCCAAGCUGUUUUGAUUCAUUCAUAAAUCCACUGUGCUGAAGUAAAGAAUUCAAGUGUUCCGUGUCCACUCCGUGUACGUUUUUAGUCUUGUUGUUGGUCUGUGCGAGAGCGACUACAGCAGCAUUAGCUCUGCUCUGAGCAUUGUCUCAGUAUUUACUCAUAGCAGAGGUAAAUGUCAGGCAGGUGGAGGAACCCACGCGUCACAUCAGCGUUCACGCUGACUCACUCCUUUAUCAAAGAUUCAGUAAGUACACACACACACACACAUGCAGGAGCAAUGAUGUUGUUCUCAUUAUGAUAAAUACUGCAGGGUCUUUUUUAUCUGCAUGUUCAAAUGUAAAUGGAAUUGAUUUUCUUACUUUUUGGACCUAAAAUCUCCUAAAAAACCUAAAAACGCAAGUAAAGCAAAUAUCACAGUGAGCAGGUUUGACAGGUUUAUCGAAUGUGUACAAUGAUCACAUGAUCACGUGGAUUUUUAUACAUACUGUACAUGGGUAUUAGUUUUUUAUUACACCUUAAUACCUUGUGUUAUACAGUAUUUCUUUGACAAAUUACAACACGAUGUCAUAGAGGGAACGCCAAAAUAAACACAAUUAAAUUUAAUUAAAUUUGUGUUUAUUUUAGGAGCUGUCAGCACGUUGGCUGGGAAAUUUAACAAUGUAAUAAAUUUGAAUUGAUGGUUUGUUUUUAAUACAAAAAAAUGCAUUUCUUUUAAGAUUCCACUGCUGCUCCCCGAGGCAGCUUUUGAGCAAACCAGCACCAACAGCACCCGCUUAAACUGAAGGCAGUGGAUUUAAGAGAGCUGAUGUUUUGCAUGAGCAGAGCAGUGGGAAGACUCGGACGUGCCACACCUGAUGUGAACCUCAGCGGUUAUGCUUGUGAAAACACAGUGAUCAGGUGAAAGAAACAGGAAGUCCUGGUUAGAAGACACAAGUGACCUUCUCGUAAUAUAAGGACACUCAAGGAUGUGAGUGAUGUCUGCUCUCCACUGUCCGCACACACGACGGCGAUAAGACGAUUUGUUUUUUCAGUUUAACGGGGGGAAGAGUGAUUCAGUGCCAGCGUGGAUAUCAUUCACCGCUCCACAAACACACGAGUCCAGCCUUGCUCUGCGGGUCAGAGAGCAGUGACCUGGGAUGGGUGAGAUUCAAGUGCCUUGCUUAAGGGCACACAAACAAACAGACUGGGGUUUGUGGGUGUGUUUCACUUUCACAACAGCCUGCACUUAAACUGUAAAAUACUGAUGUCUGGCAGAAGUGUUGCAACAGAGCAGGCACAGCGGCCUCAGAUGGGGCCUCCAGGUAAAUAACGCUUUAAAAUUUCACAACCUUCUACGUACAGGAGACCACAAUUUCAGAAUGGCACGGGAUCGAUCAAGAAUUCAUCCGAAGGUUUCCAACAAUUUCAUUUGAAAACAGCGUUUUCUAGUCUGGCCAACACCAGACCGCUCAGUCGAUGGUUCAGACGGUUUGGUUUUUUUCUGUGUUUCCAUUAGGAAAAUUACCAAAAGAACCAGUUCUUACUGUUGAAUUUUUUGGGCACCCUUCCCCUUGGGGUACCAGAGUGAAAUGGUACAGUACAAUCAGCAAAAAUGUCACUCCCUUGCGACCCAGCCCGUUUGUGAUUGGAUCUCUUUUUUCAUUUCAAGUAAUCUGGACCCACCAUACCUGACUAUUCAGGCACAUGGCUUUGUAAAGGGGAAGCUGCUUUUCUUCCUCAGCAGUUGGUUGAUUAGUUUUACUAAGUGCUGCUAACGAGAAACAACAAUGAUAAAAGAACAAAGACUUCUAGUCAAAGAGGUGAAACUGAAACUGGAAGCAAGUGUUUUACAGGUUUUCACCACAGUAGUGUGGAUGUAGUAAGACCCCUCACCCCUUUUUUACCUGGGGUCAACAAAUUCUCUUGAAACGCCUCUGAUACCAUAAAAUAACAAUGUUAGAACAAAUGUCUGGACCUCACACGUCUAUUCAGGUAAACUGAGUUUUGUUUGUUUUCUUCUUAUAAAUAAUAUAAUAACAAUGUUAUUACAAAGUUUGAAACGUUUCGUUUUUCAACCUGGACACAACGGCAGAUCCACAGAUGCAACAGUCUGCGUGUUUGAAUUUCAAAAAAUGCUGGGGGGCAAAAUAUUUGCGCUCACUUUCCCGUCACUUUGGUGUAAAAUGGUUUGAGGAAACCAAUGUUUUAUCGUAUUAAAGAGAUGUAUUUACAUAUGUAAUUAGUGUUGAGCUUAAAUUAGUUGUUAAUACUUUUGUGGUG
This is a long non-coding RNA of Solea senegalensis (Senegalese sole), 2492 nucleotides long. RefSeq lists it as uncharacterized. The transcript is spliced from 5 exons. The record is from RefSeq and is a predicted model, not a curated record. NCBI's taxonomy places the organism in Eukaryota, Metazoa, Chordata, Actinopteri, Pleuronectiformes, Soleidae.